Molecule: RNA transcript, 2189 nt
Organism: Mastomys coucha (southern multimammate mouse)
Lineage: Eukaryota; Metazoa; Chordata; Mammalia; Rodentia; Muridae
Gene name: cactin pseudogene
Exons: 2
Source: RefSeq, a predicted model, not a curated record
AUGAAGACCUCAAGGAGUCAGAGCCGCUGCCGCAGCCACAGCUGGAGCCAGAGCCACAGGCAGAGCAUCUGAAGGCGACAGGAACACGAGCUCACGAGCACCAGUGCGAAGACAAGUUGGGCAGCCAGGGUCGCAAGGUCGGAUUCUGAAGACUGGCAGCAGAAGUCUAGGAGGCGAAGCCAGAGCAGCCUUCGGCCACCUCGCGGCACUCACAGGACCAGUGCAAACACUCUGACUCGGGUGAGCAGCAGGCACGGGGCUCCCGGACCCGAAAGGGUCACAGGCACUCUUGGUCCCCAGGGUCAUCAGCAUCUAGCUCGGACUCCUCAAGAUGCUCCCGGAAUCACGGGGCAGCUACCAUGGCCCUGAGCCAGCAGCACAGCCUGCAGAGACGACUGGGGCUUCGUGAGGAGCGCAAGCAGCAAGAAGAGCUGCUCAAGGCCUUGGAGACACCCGAGGAGAAGCGUGCUCGAAGACUGGCCAAGAAGGAAGCGAAGGAGCGCAAGAAGCUCCAGAAGAUGGGCUGGGGUGAGGACUACAUGGGCUACAGCAACACCGACAACCCCUUUGGAGACAACAACCUGCUGGGCACCUUCAUCUGGAAGAAGGCCUUGGAGAAAAAAGGCAUCAGCCACCUGGGAGAAAAGGAGCUGAAGGAGCGCCACAAGAGGAUCUGGGAGGAGAACCGGCUGGAGCUGUAAAAGGUCAAACGGCUGCGGCUAGAGCGGGAACGGGAGAAAGCCCUGCGGGAGCGGGAGCUGGAGAUGCUGCAGCGGGAGAAGGAGGCAGAACACUUUAAGACCUGGGAGGAGCAGGAGGACAGCUUCCACUUGCAGCAGGCCAAGCUUCGCUCCAAGAUCCGAAUCCGAGAUGGGCGAGCCAAGCCCAUCGACCUGCUGGCCAAGUACAUCAGUGCAGAGGAAGACUCUGACCUGGCGGUGGAGAUGCACGAACCCUCCACCUUCCUCAACAGUCUCAAGGUGGCAGACAUGGAGGACCUGCUCGAGGACAUCCAGGUGUCCAUGGACCUGGAGCAGGGCAAGAACGUGGACUUCUGGCAAGACGUGACGACCAUCACAGAGGAUGAGAUCGCCAAGCUCCGCAAGCUGGAGGCCUCUGGCGAGGGCCCAGGACAGCGCCGCGAGGUGGUCAACGCCUCGGUCAGCUCCGAAGUGCAGUCGGUGUUCAAGGGAAAGACUUACAAGGAGCUGCAGGCCAUCUUCCAAGCCAUCGAGGGCAAGGUCCGAGCCGGCGGCCCCAACCUCGACACGGACUACUGGGAGAGCCUGCUGCAGCAGCUGCGUGUACACAUGGCCAGGGCCAGGCUCCGGGAGCGCCACCAAGAUGGUCUUAGACAGAAGAUGUUCCAACUGAAGCAGGAGCAGCAGCAGGGUGUGGCGAGCGAGCCGCUGUUCCCCAUCCAGAAACCAGAGCACAAGGCCACCCACAGCCCCGAACCUGCAGAGCGGCCCCCCAGGCCCGGGACUUCAGUGGACACAGCACCAGGGGAGGCAGAGGGCGAGGCAGUGCUGAUGGAGGAGGACCCGAUCCGGCAGAGCCUGGCAGACUACGAGGCAGGCCGCUACAGUCCGCGGCUGCUCACCGCGCAGGAGCUGCCUGGCAACGCGCAUGUGCUGGAGCCGCACGAGGACCCGCAGCGCCUGCAGAUGGGUCGCCAGCAGCAGCUUCAGGCUCCAGGGGAUGCGAGCGAGAGCGCCGAGGACAUCUUCUUCCAGCUCGCGAGGGAGGGCAUGGGGCAGGACGAGGCGCAGUUCGGCGUGGAGAUGCCGCUGGAUGGCCGCGCCUCCCCGUGGGCCGCCAGGUACCAGCCUCGCAAGCCGUGCUUCUUCAACCGCUUGCACACGGGCUUCGAGUGGAACAGAUACAACCGGACGCAUUACGACUGGGACAACCCUCCGCCCAAGAUCGUGCAGGGCUACAAGUUCAACAUCUUCUACCCGGACCUCAUCCGCAAGCGUGCCACGCCGGAGUACUUCCUGGAAGCCUGUCCGGACAACCCGGACUUCGCCAUCCUGCGCUUCCACGCGGGCCCGCCCUACGAGGACAUCGCCUUCAAGAUCGUCAGGCGCGAGUGGGACUACUCACACCGCCAUGGCUUCCGCUGCCAGUUCGCCAGUGGAAUCUUCCAGCUCUGGUUCCACUUCAAGCGCUAUCACUACCGCCGGUGA